GGCUUGUUAAAGGCCUGGUAGCUGAAGGACAGGGGAUCAUUUUAUCGAUGAAAAUUGCAUCUGUCAAAAGGAGAAAAGGAAGAAUC
Molecule: long non-coding RNA, 86 nt
Filed under: Numida meleagris (helmeted guineafowl)
Lineage: Eukaryota; Metazoa; Chordata; Aves; Galliformes; Numididae
Description: lncRNA (ENSNMEG00000014535.1)
Source: RNAcentral